AUUUGGUUUAGUUAGGAGGCAGAUAUUGAGCUAUAGGCCUUUUGAGGGGACUCUUAAAUGCUCUAAUUAAUCGUCCCCCAAGCAGCCUUGUACAUUU
Molecule: small nucleolar RNA, 97 nt
Organism: Mangifera indica (mango)
Lineage: Eukaryota; Viridiplantae; Streptophyta; Magnoliopsida; Sapindales; Anacardiaceae
Product: small nucleolar RNA U19
Exons: 1
Source: RefSeq, a predicted model, not a curated record